GGCAGGGUAGCUCAGUUGGUUAGAGCAUACGGUUCAUACCCGUAGUGUCGAGAGUUCAAAUCUCCCCCCUGCUACCA
RNAcentral lists this transfer RNA (77 nucleotides) under Desulfovibrionaceae bacterium. Its description in RNAcentral is "tRNA-Met". It matches the Rfam family "tRNA". From Rfam's summary of the family: Transfer RNA (tRNA) molecules are approximately 80 nucleotides in length. Lineage: Bacteria; Pseudomonadati; Thermodesulfobacteriota; Desulfovibrionia; Desulfovibrionales; Desulfovibrionaceae. RNAcentral also lists the same sequence under 1 other name. The record is from RNAcentral.